RNAcentral lists this ribosomal RNA (468 nucleotides) under uncultured bacterium. Its description in RNAcentral is "partial 16S ribosomal RNA". It matches the Rfam family "Bacterial small subunit ribosomal RNA", at positions 28 to 507 of the family's 1533-position model. The record is from RNAcentral.
GACGAACGCUGGCGGCGUGCUUAACACAUGCAAGUCGAACGGAAAGGCCCUGCUUUUGUGGGGUGCUCGAGUGGCGAACGGGUGAGUAACACGUGAGUAACCUGCCCUUGACUUUGGGAUAACUUCAGGAAACUGGGGCUAAUACCGGAUAGGAGCUCCUGCUGCAUGGUGGGGGCUGGAAAGUUUCGGCGGUUGGGGAUGGACUCGCGGCUUAUCAGCUUGUUGGUGGGGUAGUGGCUUACCAAGGCUUUGACGGGUAGCCGGCCUGAGAGGGUGACCGGCCACAUUGGGACUGAGGUACGGCCCAGACUCCUACGGGAGGCAGCAGUGGGAAAUAUUGCACAAUGGGCGGAAGCCUGAUGCAGCAACGCCGCGUGCGGGAUGACGGCCUUCGGGUUGUAAACCGCUUUCGCCUGUGACGAAGCGUGAGUGACGGUAAUGGGUAAAGAAGCACCGGCUAACUACGUG